RNAcentral lists this ribosomal RNA (2098 nucleotides) under gut metagenome. RNAcentral's name for it is "bacterial LSU rRNA". It matches the Rfam family "Bacterial large subunit ribosomal RNA", at positions 1 to 2120 of the family's 2925-position model. The record is from RNAcentral.
GAAAGUAAGCAAGGGCAGACGGUGGAUGCCUUGGCUCUCGGAGGCGACGAAGGACGUGAUAAGCUGCGAAAAGCCCGGGGGAGGCGCAAAUAGCCGUUGAUCCCGGGAUAUCCGAAUGGGGCAACCCGGCAGGCUGAAGGCCUGUCAUCCCGAAAGGGAGGCGAACGUGGGGAACUGAAACAUCUAAGUACCCAUAGGAGGAGAAAAUAAACAAUGAUUCCGUAAGUAGUGGCGAGCGAACACGGAAGAGCCCAAACCCAUGUCGUCUAGGCGACACGGGGGUUGUAGGACCACGACGUGGCAAGAAGGAAGGGAAAUGGAACGCCUUGGAAAAGUCGGCCAUAGACGGUGAAAGCCCGGUACAUGACUCCCUUACGAAGCCUAGUGGUAUCCUGAGUAGCGCGGGGCACGAGAAAUCUUGCGUGAAGCAGCGGGGCCCAUCCCGUAAGGCUAAAUACUCCCGAGAGACCGAUAGCGAACCAGUACCGUGAGGGAAAGGUGAAAAGAACCCCGAGCAGGGGAGUGAAAUAGACCCUGAACCCGUCUGCCUACAAGCGGUCGGAGCGUCGUAAUGACGUGACGGCGUGCCUUUUGCAUAAUGAACCUACGAGUUACCUUCCCCGGCAAGGUUAAGUACCUAAGGUACGGAGCCGAAGCGAAAGCGAGUCUGAACAGGGCGCCAAGUCGGGGGGGGUAGACGCGAAACCGAGUGAUCUACCCUUGGCCAGGUUGAAGGUUGGGUAACACCAACUGGAGGACCGGAUGGGUAAGCGUUGAAAAGCUUUCCAAUGAGCUGAGGGUAGGGGUGAAAGGCUAAUCAAACUCGGAGAUAGCUCGUACUCCCCGAAAUGCAUUUAGGUGCAGCCUCUUUAUAGUAUAUCGUGAGGUAGAGCGACUGAUUGGAUGCGAGGGCUUCACCGCCUAUCAAGUCCAGAUAAACUCCGAAUGCGCGAUAUAUAUUUACAGGGAGUGAGGGCGCGGGUGCUAAGGUCCGUGUCCGAGAGGAGAAGAAUCCAGACCACCGGCUAAGGCCCCCAAAUGAUCGUUAAGUUGAACUAACGAGGUCGGAUCGCAGAGACAGCUAGGAUGUUGGCUUGGAAGCAGCCAUUCAUUUAAAGAGUGCGUAACAGCUCACUAGUCGAGCGAUCUGGCGUGGAUAAUAAUCGGGCAUAAACGAUCUGCCGAAGCCGUGGAUGUCGCAAGACAUGGUAGGGGAGCAUUCCAUGCCGCGUCGAAGAUGAGGGAUGACCCUUGUUGGAGCGCAUGGAAAAGCAAAUGUAGGUAUGAGUAACGAUAAGGGGGGCGAGAAACCCCCCCGCCGAAAGACCAAGGUUUCCUGAUCAACGCUAAUCGGAUCAGGGUGAGUCGGGACCUAAGGCAAAGCCGAACGGCGCCGCCGAUGGAAGAAUGGGUUAAUAUUCCCAUACUGCCUCAUGGAGUGACGUGGAGACGGAGAAGUGACAGUCCUGCCGGCUGACGGAAUAGCCGGUUGAAGGGUGUAGAUAUUGAUUCCCGUAGGCAAAUCCGCGGGGAGAGUCGAACCUGAGAGUAUACGGAGCGCUUGCGCAACGUAAUAUGGACGUAACCAUGCUCCCGAGAAAAUCCGCUAAACUUAUCCAUGCGGCACCCGUACCGUAAACGGACACACGUGGUCGGGUUGAGAAUACUGAGGCGCUCGAGUGAUUCACGGUUAAGGAACUAGGCAAAUUGACCCUGUAACUUCGGGAUAAAGGGUCCUCGUCGUAAGGCGAGGCGCAGAGAAUAGGUCCAGGCAACUGUUUAACAAAAACACAUGGCUGUGCUAAAUGGAAACAUGAUGUAUACAGCCUGACACCUGCCCGGUGCCGGAAGGUUAAGAGGAGAUGUCAUCCGCGAGGAGAAGCGUUGAAUUGAAGCCCCGGUAAACGGCGGCCGUAACUAUAACGGUCCUAAGGUAGCGAAAUUCCUUGUCGGGUAAGUUCCGACCUGCACGAAUGGUGUAAUGAUCUGGACACUGUCUCAACCGUGAGCUCGGUGAAAUUGUAGUAUCGGUGAAGAUGCCGAUUACCCGCGAUGGGACGAAAAGACCCCGUGAACCUUUACUAUAGCUUUACAUUGA